UUACCUGGCAGAAUAAGUCUAUUCUAGAAACAUGGGACGUCGAGUCUUGCUUCUCUUCGUGGUGGUGGCAACCAUUCUGCUGUCAAUGGGAGUGGAGGCAGACCCACGUCCGAGACGCUACCCCCGCAGUGUAGACAGUGAGAUACCCACAGACGGUCCUUAAUUCGACUUGGCCGAUGUGACAACAGAAGACGGCACAAUCGCGCUUGUUUUGGUGCGCUACUGCAACACAUCAUUGAUAUGGAGACUUCUUCACACAGCCUGCACUAUGAAUGGAGCA
Molecule: long non-coding RNA, 280 nt
Organism: Cryptotermes secundus
Lineage: Eukaryota; Metazoa; Arthropoda; Insecta; Blattodea; Kalotermitidae
Exons: 3
Source: RefSeq, a predicted model, not a curated record